Molecule: long non-coding RNA, 1275 nt
Filed under: Solanum tuberosum (potato)
Lineage: Eukaryota; Viridiplantae; Streptophyta; Magnoliopsida; Solanales; Solanaceae
Description: long non-coding RNA (STUB_LNC002361)
Source: RNAcentral
CCCACCCAAAAAGAGGGUAGUGAAUUUGAAAGCACUUCUGAACCUUUUUAAUUUAUUAGAAAGCACCUUAAAUAGAAUCUUGUAAAUGCUUCCUACCGGACUAAUAGGUCUAUAGUCCUUUAUACUUGUCACACCUUCCUUCUUUGGCACAUUAGUAACAAAGGAUGCAUUAAGACUUUUCUCGUACUCCCCUGAAUUCUGAAUUCUGCAAUGGUCACCAACAGCUCACAUUUGACUAUCCUCCAACAUUGUUGGAAAAGAGCAAACGAGAAUCCAUCAGGACUUGGAGCCUUGUCACCCAGACAACUAUCCCUCACCUCUUCUUCUUCUACAGCCCUUUCCAACCACUCCCUCACCCCCUCCCCUAUUAGGUUAAAUACUAGCGCCCCCCAGAAUUUUUGUCUCCACCUGAUAACUUCCUUGAACGAAUGUUCAUAAAACCAUACAAUGGCCUCCUCCACUUCCGCCUCCCCCUCACGCGCCUAUAAAAACGAUAAAGUUUCUCUUCCUAUUUGCUAUGGCUACCCUAUGAAAGAAUUUUUUGUUAGAAUUCCCCCUCUUUCAACCACAAUGCCCUCAAAUUUUGCCUCCAACUAGUCUCUUCGGCAACCGCUAGAGCCGCAAGCUCCCUCUUUGCCUACUCAUAUCUGACCUUCUCCCUUUCUUCUAACAUCCUCAUCCCUUCCACAUGCUCAAUCUCCCCCACCUCAUUUAUUAGCUCUCUUAUUUUAAACUUUCACCCUCCCAAACACCUCUUUGUUCCAUUUACUUAUAUCUCCGUUUACAAUUUCAACUUACAGGCAAGUCGAAAAGAUGGUGUGCCAGUUUUUAUUCUUGAAAAACUUCAAACUAUAUUAAAAAUAAAUAUCACAUGACUUGAGCAACUAAAUAUGAUGGGAUCCAGUUUUAGUAGCCCAGUGAUUCAGGCAAUACAAUUUUUAGUCAUUUUAUUCUCGUGACAGGGAAAUUUCCCCAUAGAACUAAGAAGAGAUGUCUAUAGAUAUUUCAUCAUAAGCCAUACCACGGCAUUCAACAAUUUCUUUGCUAAAUUCAUACCUACGAUCAAGUCACAAUAUGUCAGAAAGUGCAAUAACAGUUAUCCUGUUACAAUAAAUAGACACAUAGAAACAUAUACAUUAAGAUGUCAAUAACCUAUAGGUCAAGAUAAAAUACCAACAUAUUCUAUUUGGAAAUACUUCGAAAAUACUCUCCACACAAUUUCUUCUUGUUCCCCUGUAUAAAAGGCAACGUGGUUAACAGAGCACCAAAUCUCAG